GGAUUGCAGGCUGCAACCCGCCUGUAUGAAGUUGGAAUCGCUAGUAAUCGCGGAUCAGCAUGCCGCGGUGAAUACGUUCCCGGGCCUUGUACACACCGCCCGUCACACCAUGAGAGUCGGGAACACCCGAAGUCCGUAGCCUAACCGCAAGGGGGGCGCGGCCGAAGGUGGGUUCGAUAAUUGGGGUGAAGUCGUAACAAGGUAAC
RNAcentral lists this ribosomal RNA (206 nucleotides) under uncultured bacterium. Its description in RNAcentral is "partial 16S ribosomal RNA". It matches the Rfam family "Bacterial small subunit ribosomal RNA", at positions 1295 to 1500 of the family's 1533-position model. The record is from RNAcentral.